CCUACGGGAGGCAGCAGUGAGGAAUAUUGGUCAAUGGCCGAGAGGCUGAACGAGCCAAGUCGCGUGAGGGAAGACGGCCCUACGGGUUGUAAACCCCUUUUGUCGUGGAGCAAAGCGAGUCACGUGUGACGCAUUGAGAGUACCCGAAGACAAAGCAUCGGCGAACUCCGGGCACGCAGCCGCGGUAAUACGGAGACUGCGAGCGUUAUCCGGAUUUAUUGGGUUUAAAGGGUGCGCAGGCGGAGGUGCAAGUCAGCGGUUAAAGUGCGGGGCUCAACCCCGUACUGCCGUUGAAACUGCAUCCCUUGAGUGCGCGAGGAGGAAGCGGAAUGCGUGGUGUAGCGGUGAAAUGCAUAGAUAUCACGCAGAACUCCGAUUGCGAAGGCAGCACACCGGCGCGCAACUGACGCUCAGGCACGAAAGCGUGGGUAGCGAACAGGAUUAGAUACCCCGGUAGUC
RNAcentral lists this ribosomal RNA (459 nucleotides) under uncultured bacterium. RNAcentral describes it as "partial 16S ribosomal RNA". It matches the Rfam family "Bacterial small subunit ribosomal RNA", at positions 338 to 795 of the family's 1533-position model. The record is from RNAcentral.